This is a long non-coding RNA of Dendrobium catenatum, 2157 nucleotides long. RefSeq lists it as uncharacterized. The transcript has 2 exons. Lineage: Eukaryota; Viridiplantae; Streptophyta; Magnoliopsida; Asparagales; Orchidaceae. The record is from RefSeq and is a predicted model, not a curated record.
CUCUAGGAUGUCAAGAGGGGGUGGCCCUAGGUCACCUCCUCCCACUGGAGGUGGUAAUAGGGGGAGCAUUGUGGGAACUAUUGGAAGGUCCUAGCUAGCAAUGAGGGCGCAGCAGCGGGUACCCAACCGACACGGAACACCAGGGCUUCGACCAAAUCUUUGGAGACCGCACGUAAGGCUAGAGAUGGAUCCAAAUCGUAGCCAACUGUCAGGCCAUCAUCCACCGGGGGAGGGAGGAAGACAACAUCUAAGAUAGGAUGCUCGGAGCGUAUUUUGCCCAGCUCAACUACGGUCAGCAUCUUUGUAUUAGGUCCAUUCCUUCGCAAGCAUUAUCCUUUGAUAAUGACUGUAGUUCAGAGCAUGAAACAAACAACUUGAAGACUGAGAUGGCGCAGCUGAAGCCCACACAUGUUUGAUGAACAACAUGGAGGAUGAGGAAAAUACAAGCCCUAGUUCGGACCUCCAACUUCAUGAGCUGCAGGUUCCUGUCCAGCCUCAGGGAUCACACAAAUUGUCAAAGGAAAUCCUUCUCUCAGAUGCCAUGAUCGAUUUAGAUAACAUACCUUCUGAGGUUAACCCAAAUAUAGAUGACCACAUAUCUGACUUGUUCGUGCCAUCUGCAAACGAGCCAUCGAAUUCUGCCCAGGUGUGUACGGAGAACGAUGUGAUCCUGUGUCGAGAUGUUGCUUCUAGUGGAUUGGCCCAUGCUGGGAUGGAUUGCGAUGCAUCUAGGAAGAUCAAGCUUUCUAACUGUAGGUGUGGAUAGCCACAUGUUCUUAUCACUCUUAAACAUGAAGCUACAAUUAGCUUCCCUCAAGGUGUUAGUGCUUUUACCCCAAUGGCCACCACAACCCCUAACAGAAAAAACCAGCUUCCCCUCCAUCUCAACCUGGUGGAAGUGUGUUUAGUGGGCAAUUUUUUGGGAAUAAGCUCCAACAUGUUCCCAUUGACUGAUUAAGCAAGGAGAUUUUCUUAGCCAAAGAUGGGCUAACUAUGGAACCUAAAAUCAAUGCAGUAAAUAAAAACAUUUCAGGGUUGGAGAAAUCCCUCAUAGCCAAGCUCGUUGGUAGACACGUUUUUUCCCCUAUAUUAUGAAUGAGUUCAAAAUGAGAUGGUACCAGUUUUGGAAAUUCCAAAUCACCACUACGGCCCCAAAUUCCCUUAUUUUUAUAUUCCAGUGCAUUUAAGCUCGAGAUGCAGUCCUUGCUAAUGGAUCGUGGAUUAUUGCUAAAAACAUUAUUGGAAUGGAUAAAUGGACUCCAUACUCCUCACGAAACUCUCUAAAUGUCCUCCAUUCACCAAUUUAGGUUCAGUUGCCCCAACUCCCAUUAUUGUAUGUGGAUACCUCCAAUAUCACUUGCCUUGUUAACAUGAUUAGGGAACCACUUUGGAUGGAUGCUCUCACUACCACUUGGGGAAGAUCUUUGUAUGCCCGCAUUUGUGUGAGGAUUAACCUCUCAUAAAAGCUUCUACCUGAGAUUUGGAUCAACGGUUUGCAUGGCAUAUUCUUCCAACAAAUCGAGUAUUAGGGGCUCUCAAACUUCUGCUUUGGUUGUAGACUCAUAGGACACACUCACCAAAGCUAUCCAGGCUUGGCUCCCCACUCUUCACCUCGGGCUCAUGUAGCCUCCCCCACUCCUACUAAGAAGCCAUCCACUCAUGGUCAGGAUAUGGAAGUCGUGGGUCCUUCCCUUUCUCCAAAGGAUGCCACUUCUUCACAGGUCAACCGCAUGGAGCAGCUUGCCAAUGCAAACAUUGUUCAAUUGGAUGAGUUAGGUGAUUGGAAAAUAGUCAAAAGAAGGAAGAGAGGAAACCAUAAGACCAAGAAGGAACAUGCACCAUUUCCAAGUCACACUGUUCAACGGAUCACUUUCUCCACUUCUAAGGAGCAACAAUUGGAGGACACUUCCCAUAGCAUACUCAACCUUCGGAAGCAACACCCUAUGGCCACUAUGGGCUCUGUCGCCAAGGACUUCAUGUAGCUAGGACCUCUCCCAUCUCUCCAAGAAAGAGGAAGAAGACUUCUAUAGAGUUUCUAGGUGGGGAUUUGGUUAUACAUAUGAUAAUAGAUAAAUAAUCUAAAUGACUUGAUCAAUAUUUACCUUCUUUAUUUGGUCAAAUAUGAUUAGUUUUUUGGAAUAAAUGUAUUUUGAUGUA